This 271-nucleotide ribosomal RNA is filed under the name uncultured prokaryote. RNAcentral's name for it is "partial 16S ribosomal RNA". It matches the Rfam family "Bacterial small subunit ribosomal RNA", at positions 524 to 794 of the family's 1533-position model. The record is from RNAcentral.
UACGUAGGUGGCGAGCGUUGUCCGGAUUUACUGGGCGUAAAGGGAGCGUAGGCGGACUUUUAAGUGAGAUGUGAAAUACCCGGGCUCAACUUGGGUGCUGCAUUUCAAACUGGAAGUCUAGAGUGCAGGAGAGGAGAAUGGAAUUCCUAGUGUAGCGGUGAAAUGCGUAGAUAUUAGGAGGAACACCAGUGGCGAAGGCGACUUACUGGACUGUAACUGACGCUGAGUCACGAAAGCGUGGGUAGCAAACAGGAUUAGAUACCCGUGUAGU